GAUGAACGCUGGCGGCGUGCCUAAUACAUGCAAGUCGAGCGAACAGACGAGGAGCUUGCUCCUCUGACGUUAGCGGCGGACGGGUGAGUAACACGUGGAUAACCUACCUAUAAGACUGGGAUAACUUCGGGAAACCGGAGCUAAUACCGGAUAAUAUAUUGAACCGCAUGGUUCAAUAGUGAAAGACGGUUUUGCUGUCACUUAUAGAUGGAUCCGCGCCGCAUUAGCUAGUUGGUAAGGUAACGGCUUACCAAGGCAACGAUGCGUAGCCGACCUGAGAGGGUGAGGGGCCACAGGGGAACUGAGACAGGGCCCAGACUCAGACGGGGGGCAGAAGGAGGGAAUCUUCCGAAAUGGGCAAAAGAUUGAAGGAGAAACGCCGGGAGAGGAAGGAAGGUUUUGGAAUAGAAAAACUUUUUUAUUAGGGAAAAAAAAAGGUGAAAGAAAAAAUGCACGUCUUGAGGGUACAAAAUCAGAAAACCACGGCAAACUCCGGC
Molecule: ribosomal RNA, 497 nt
Filed under: uncultured bacterium
Lineage: Bacteria
Description: partial 16S ribosomal RNA
Rfam family: Bacterial small subunit ribosomal RNA
Source: RNAcentral